This is a long non-coding RNA of Alosa sapidissima (American shad), 847 nucleotides long. RefSeq lists it as uncharacterized. Lineage: Eukaryota; Metazoa; Chordata; Actinopteri; Clupeiformes; Clupeidae. The transcript has 6 exons. The record is from RefSeq and is a predicted model, not a curated record.
CUCCCGGGCUCCACUAAAUAUUAGGUAGACAAACGUUGAGCAAAAUCUGACACGGUGUCGCAACAUAGAUUGUGUCUGGUGGUUUGACAUGGAAUAACCCAAUGGAGUAACGAGGAUAGAUUGAGAAGAAAAAUAGUGUAUUUUAGAGAUCUUCAGCUUAAUUUAAAUCGGAUUUAGGCUAGAGGCAAGGAGGCUAGCCUAGCCUACUUCGCAGUUGGUGAGGUAGGCUAAAAGGUCAGAAGUGGCGCUAAUAUCCCGCACAGAAAAGAAGCGGAAAACUCAGAGGCCUGUCAUGGACGCUACCAGACGAAUAGAUGAAGGAUGGACGAUUGCUGUUAGAAGAGGCCUACUAGGCUACACUAACCCUGUCAUCACUGGGAUUCGACAACCCCCCGUGGUCACUGGAGAUUCUGCGCCGGCUUUGCAGCGGACCACAGGAGCUUCCCGUCCUUUGUGAAGAUGAGAGAAAUUCAGCUUUCCGCUGUCAGCUUUCCACUGCCUCUCACUCAAGAGGCUUCACAGCUGAUGGAUCAGAGGAAUGACCCAAUGGUCCAGCAACACCUCCUCACUUAUCUCAUGACCAUACUCCUGAUAGGCCAAUUGAUCCUAAUGAUGCGUGCAAGGCUGAAAAAUGCUCAAGGUGCUAGAAGAUCUGUUUGGUGAUACUUUCUGCAAUCAGAGAAUCAAAACAUCCAGAGAGCAAGCCCAUGAUGAAAUAAUAAUGAAGAGGAGAAUACUGAGGAUCUGAUCUUAUCAACAACCAAGUGCAGGAUGGAAUCCAGGCAGGAGAUACUAGUCUGGGACAUGAUAAUUCACUAAUGUUGCCCUCGGACAGAAGAAAUCAGGU